GAUGAACGCUAGCUACAGGCUUAACACAUGCAAGUCGAGGGGAAACGAUGAGAGAGCUUGCUCUCUUAGUCGUCGACCGGCGCACGGGUGAGUAACGCGUAUCCAACCUGCCUCUGACCAAGGGAUAACCCGUCGAAAGUCGGACUAAUACCUUAUGCAGUCGUCGGAAGUCAUCUGAUGACGACGAAAGAUUUCAUCGGUGAGAGAUGGGGAUGCGUCUGAUUAGCUUGUUGGCGGGGUAACGGCCCACCAAGGCGACGAUCAGUAGGGGUUCUGAGAGGAAGGUCCCCCACAUUGGAACUGAGACACGGUCCAAACUCCUACGGGAGGCAGCAGUGAGGAAUAUUGGUCAAGGGGCGUAAGCCUGAACCAGCCAAGUAGCGUGCAGGAGGACGGCCCUAUGGGUUGUAAACUGCUUUUAUGCGGGGAUAAAGUGAGGGACGUGUCCUUCAUUGCAGGUACCGCAUGAAUAAGGACCGGCUAAUUCCGUG
RNAcentral lists this ribosomal RNA (491 nucleotides) under uncultured bacterium. RNAcentral describes it as "partial 16S ribosomal RNA". It matches the Rfam family "Bacterial small subunit ribosomal RNA", at positions 28 to 507 of the family's 1533-position model. The record is from RNAcentral.